UAAUCGCCUUGAAUGAAAUUAUGAUGGUGGUAUUAUAGAAUCUGAUGGAGGUUUAACAAUUUUUUGUCAUCCCGGAAGAGCUUUAAGAGGUGGCAAACCACACAAACUUGAUUCAAAUGAACUGGAGCAAGCACAUAUUUAUAUUUUGAAGAAUUGUGAUGAAAUUCAACCAUUUCUCGAAGAGUUUUCACUAACUCCAGUUGAUACCUCUCAAGAAAAUUCUUAUAGGCAAUUCAUUGGUUGGUUAAAAGAAAAGGUUGCAGGAUUACACAAAUGCAAUGACAGUAAAAAAAUGG
Nicotiana attenuata is the source of this 296-nucleotide long non-coding RNA. RefSeq lists it as uncharacterized. The record is from RefSeq and is a predicted model, not a curated record. Lineage: Eukaryota; Viridiplantae; Streptophyta; Magnoliopsida; Solanales; Solanaceae. The transcript is spliced from 3 exons.